CGUAGGUAAUGUACCUUUGGUGGGGAAUAACAGUCGGAAACGACUGCUAAUACCGCAUAAUGCAGCGGCAUCGCAAGAUGACAGUUGUUAAAGGAGUAAUCCGCCUGAAGAGCAGCCUGCGGCAGAUUAGCUAGUUGGUAAGGUAAUGGCUUACCAAGGCUACGAUCUGUAACCGACCUGAGAGGGUGGUCGGUCACACUGACACUGAAUAACGGGUCAG
Molecule: ribosomal RNA, 220 nt
Filed under: uncultured bacterium
Lineage: Bacteria
Description: partial 16S ribosomal RNA
Rfam family: Bacterial small subunit ribosomal RNA
Source: RNAcentral